UAAAAAGCUCGUAGUUGGAUCUGUGUAUCGGACGGUCGGUUCGCCGCUCGCGGCGUCUAACUGACCGGUCCGGACGUCCUGCCGGUGGGCGCCGGCCGCCUUCGCGGCGGCCGGGGCCCGUAACUCCCUCCGCGCUGCUCUUAACCGAGUGGUUCGGUGGGCCGGCACGUUUACUUUGAACAAAUUUGAGUGCUCAAAGCAGGCCACACGUCGCCUGAAAACUGUGUGCAUGGAAUAAUGGAAUAGGGCCUCGGUUCUAUUUUGUUGGCUUUUUCUGAACUCGAGGUAAUGAUUAAUAGGGACAGACGGGGGCAUUCGUAUUGCGACGUUAGAGGUGAAAUUCUUGGAUCGUCGCAAGACGGACCGAUGCGAAAGCGUUUGCCAAGAAUGUUUUCGCUAAUCAAGAACGAAAGUUAGAGGUUCGAAGGCGAUCAGAUACCGCCCUAGUUCUAACCAUAAACGAUGCCAGCCAGCGAUGCGCCGAAGUUCCUCCGAUGACUCGGCGCGCAGCUUCCGGGAAACCAAAGCUUUUGGGUUCCGGGG
RNAcentral lists this ribosomal RNA (543 nucleotides) under Potamanthus idiocerus. Its description in RNAcentral is "SSU rRNA". It matches the Rfam family "Eukaryotic small subunit ribosomal RNA", at positions 620 to 1119 of the family's 1831-position model. Lineage: Eukaryota; Metazoa; Arthropoda; Insecta; Ephemeroptera; Potamanthidae. The record is from RNAcentral. RNAcentral also lists the same sequence under 1 other name.